UUUUAGCCUUCGGGUGGGGAAUAACUCAGGGAAACUUGAGCUAAUACCGCAUAAUGCAGCGGCUCGACAUCGAGACAGUUGUUAAAGCGGGGGAUUCCGCAAGGAACCUCGCGCCUGAAGAGAAGCCUGCGGCAGAUUAGCUAGUUGGUAAGGUAAUGGCUUACCAAGGCGACGAUCUGUAACCGGCCUGAGAGGGCGGUCGGUCACACUGACACUGACAUACGGGUCAG
Molecule: ribosomal RNA, 230 nt
Filed under: uncultured bacterium
Lineage: Bacteria
Description: partial 16S ribosomal RNA
Rfam family: Bacterial small subunit ribosomal RNA
Source: RNAcentral